GCGGGCGUGGCGGAAUUGGCAGACGCGCUGGAUUUAGGUUCCAGUGGAGAAAUCCGUGGGGGUUCAAGUCCCUCCGCCCGCACCA
This 85-nucleotide transfer RNA is filed under the name Limibacillus halophilus. RNAcentral's name for it is "tRNA-Leu". It matches the Rfam family "tRNA". Rfam says of the family: Transfer RNA (tRNA) molecules are approximately 80 nucleotides in length. Their secondary structure includes four short double-helical elements and three loops (D, anti-codon, and T loops). Further hydrogen bonds mediate the characteristic L-shaped molecular structure. tRNAs have two regions of fundamental functional importance: the anti-codon, which is responsible for specific mRNA codon recognition, and the 3' end, to which the tRNAs corresponding amino acid is attached (by aminoacyl-tRNA synthetases). tRNAs cope with the degeneracy of the genetic code in two manners: having more than one tRNA (with a specific anti-codon) for a particular amino acid; and 'wobble' base-pairing, i.e. permitting non-standard base-pairing at the 3rd anti-codon position. The record is from RNAcentral. Lineage: Bacteria; Pseudomonadati; Pseudomonadota; Alphaproteobacteria; Rhodospirillales; Rhodovibrionaceae. RNAcentral also lists the same sequence under 1 other name.